Molecule: long non-coding RNA, 1514 nt
Organism: Serinus canaria (Common canary)
Lineage: Eukaryota; Metazoa; Chordata; Aves; Passeriformes; Fringillidae
Exons: 4
Source: RefSeq, a predicted model, not a curated record
GCGGCACCCCCAGCGCCGCUGGCCCCGAGCGGGCCGGGCCGGGCCCGGGGCUCCGAGCUCCCGGUGUGACCGUAAAGGGGCGGCCACACAGCACGGCGGAGGCCACGCCGGAAUGAGACCUGAUCGAGUGCUGGGUAAUAUCUUGGCAGCAGCUAGAGGUGGUUGUUUGGUAGCUGAAAUUAAUGGGGCUGCUGCUGCUACCCGUGAGGUUGAGAUAAAAGAAAAAGUAGAAGUAGUCCAAGAACCUAGUGAUCAUUAUGAUGGAGAAAUUCCAGAACUGGAAUUCCACAGCUUUGCCUAUACAAAGAAGGAGCCUUGCUGAGUUGAAGAAAAUAGAACAAAGUCAAUAAAAAGCUGACAUCCUGUGUGAGGAAACCAGCCUUUCCCUUGUGCUUCACUGAAUCCAUCUACAAAGGAUCUUUUGCAAAAUGUCUUGACAGCUGUGUGGAGUAAUUGCUGUAAAAUCAGACUGUGAUGCACAAAUCAGACCUCGGAAUCGUUUUGCUCACUGCUGCAGAGACUUGGAAGCUAUUUUGGAGGGAUUCUGGAAAAAACAUGUUCCCUGCCCCAGUGUCCCUGUUGUAGUGCUUAUGAGCAAUUGUGUCUCCAGCAUGUAUGUCCUGCCAUGCUGGAAUAUCUGUCUCAGAAUCUUUGGUCGGCAAGCAGCAGCUGGAGGGAGAUAAAUUUUGUUCACCAGGAGAGGGCUCUCACUGUCUUCUGUUAUUACUGAACCUGGGAGCAGAAAGACCAGAAGGUGAAGCUACAGAAAAAGUCAUGCAAGACCGGCUUAAAUCAGGUUAUAUCCACCUGUGUGCUUUAGAUACUAUUAAUGUUAAUUUUAAAUGAACAAAGCAAAUUUUACUUGUGCUUAAAAAAAAAAAAAAAGAAAAAAAAGUAUGCUGUUGCAGCUUAGCUCUAUUUUUUCCUUAGUAUGGCUGUUGUUAAACAACACUAAAAUAUUAUGGAAGUCACCUCUCUGUACAGCACCACCAAAAUGCAGAUUAACACUGCUUUUGGCUUUGCCAAGGAAAUCCCACAGAUGUGUGAAGACCAUUCCUGUUGGGGUGCUUAGUGUGGUUCAAACACUGUUAUGAAAAUAGAAGUUAAUGUUUCAGAGAGGAAAAAGGAUUUUUUUUCAUAUUUUUUAUUUCUUUUUUGCCAUCCUUCAAAUAACACUAUGUAUCAUGAAGAGUAAAUAUAUAAAGUGAUACAAACAUAGAAUCAGCCUGGCUGUGUCUUCUCUUAUUAUACCUCUUAUUUGUUAAAAAUGAAUGUGUAAAAUCUUUAUUUGGAUGCUAUUGCCUAAACAGGGUAACACAGAUGCUGUCUUUAUUUCUGCUGUAAACAAUCAACAGCAAGGUCAUUUGCAUUUCUAACAAUAGUUAGAAUGAGCUCUGCUUUUUAGUUCUUGUUUAACAUCAUAAAUUACGGGUUUACUGUAAGCAUUAUCUCAUGAAAUCCAUGCAUGUAAAGGAGAAGUCAGUUUUCUAUAGUGCUUGAAGUAAGUACUAUAA